GGGGGUAUAACUCAGCAGCAUAAGUGCCUGCCUUGCAGGCACAAGGUCUUGAGUUCAAUUCCCAGUACCCCCC
RNAcentral lists this transfer RNA (73 nucleotides) under Cavia porcellus (domestic guinea pig). It matches the Rfam family "tRNA". Rfam says of the family: Transfer RNA (tRNA) molecules are approximately 80 nucleotides in length. Their secondary structure includes four short double-helical elements and three loops (D, anti-codon, and T loops). Further hydrogen bonds mediate the characteristic L-shaped molecular structure. tRNAs have two regions of fundamental functional importance: the anti-codon, which is responsible for specific mRNA codon recognition, and the 3' end, to which the tRNAs corresponding amino acid is attached (by aminoacyl-tRNA synthetases). tRNAs cope with the degeneracy of the genetic code in two manners: having more than one tRNA (with a specific anti-codon) for a particular amino acid; and 'wobble' base-pairing, i.e. permitting non-standard base-pairing at the 3rd anti-codon position. Lineage: Eukaryota; Metazoa; Chordata; Mammalia; Rodentia; Caviidae. The record is from Rfam by way of RNAcentral.